This is a long non-coding RNA of Aethalodelphis obliquidens (Pacific white-sided dolphin), 1734 nucleotides long. RefSeq lists it as uncharacterized. NCBI's taxonomy places the organism in Eukaryota, Metazoa, Chordata, Mammalia, Artiodactyla, Delphinidae. The record is from RefSeq and is a predicted model, not a curated record. The transcript is spliced from 3 exons.
CGUCCCAGCUUAUCCUUCCCCCUCCCCAUGUCCUCAGGUCCAUUCUCUACAUCUGCGUCUUUAUUCCUGUCCUGCCCCUAGAUUGUUUUGAUGUUGAAUCUGGCCUGUCUGGAGGCUGUCCCUGUGAGCCAGUGAUUGGUCAGAGGUUAUGCCCACACUUUUUGACCAGUAAGGCUUCCACCCUUCGCCGAUGGAUCUGUGUGUAGGUCAGGGGAAUGCAUUCAAAGUCCAGGCAGUUGUGCAAGUUUGACCCCGCCUUUACCUUCUGCCAGGCCCUCUUGUGUCUCUUCCACAUGCGUGCAAGGCAUGCAUUCGGCCAAGGAUGUGUGGAGAGCCAGGGCUGUCUCGGGUCUCUCUGGAGUGGUGCAGCCUUGGGCCUGCAGGCAGCCUCCAGACCACAAAGGAUGUGAGGAAGACUACACACUGAUGAGAAGAGCCCUCCUUGUUCUUCCUCCAGGGCCCGGAGUGCCCCGGUCACCAGUGUUAGGUCCCUUAUUGCCAUGACCAAGAAGGAUGCCUGUGCUCGGACCUCAGGCGCAGCCCAGAGGCCUGAGCUCCACUGCUGAGGUACUGAGGGGACAGCUGGGGUCUUCCUGCCCUCACAGAAAAGUGAAGACUUCUGCUCCCAGCCAAUUCUACACGGCCUUCUCACUUCUCCUCCCCUUCACCAGUAAGCGGGUCAGGCCCGGAGGAAAGAGACCACAGGAUAUGGUUCUCAGCAGGGGAAUGUCGCUUCUUGGAGGAGUAGCAUCAACUGUCUGCUAGAAGGUUCAUUAAAGAAGCCCCUGACAAUAACAGAGAGGAGGUGAAGAAUAAUGGUGAUGAAUGUGGGUGAGCUGAACCGUGUGUCUUCUCGAUGGUGCCAGCCCCACGCAAGUCUCCUCGCCUCUGGCGGCCUCUGUUUAGGCUCAUCAAGGAAGGAGAUGAAGGGUCCAGACGAAUUCUCCUGGCUGAUGGCUGACUACAGGGAGGUGUGAAGAGCGGACCCUCAUGGGAUGGGGUAAGGCCCUGAAAGGAGGACACACAGCCACCAGAGGCAGAGCUGGGAUGUGGGGGGGCCUCCUGACUUGGGGGAGCUGGAGGACCCCUUUCUUUCAUCGUGGGAUAUCUUCCCCUGUCCUGGUCAGGGGUCCUUGGUGGUCCUUGGCAUUCAGUCAAUCAAUUACCAAUCACGCAGGCGGCACACGCUUGCAUGUCUCCAGACAGUAGGGAAGAGACUGAUGAGGAGGCUUGGUGGGCUGGAGGAGCCCUGGCGGGGAAGGGAAGAUGGAGGGAGACCAAGGGCCUUCGGGGAGGAGGGUCUGAGCUAACCUCCACCCCCAGAGCCUCAGGCUGUCUUUCUACUGUGGCCAGAGAAAGUUCUACAGGGACCUCUCACAGCUUUAUGGCCAAGACUCAUAGUGGAGGUAUCCGACCAAGGUGCCCUUAGUCUCACUUUUCAGAUGAAGAAACUGAGUCUCAGAGAGGUUGAGUGACUUGCCCCAGGUCACACAGCUGAUAAGUGGUGAAGUCAGAGUUCUUCGCUUCAGUAUCAGGAAGUAAGAAACACUCUCCAUGAAUCCUAUAAAAAUAUGUUUUGGGGGGACUUCCCUAGUGGUUCAGUGGUAAAAAAUCUGCUUUCCAACGUGGGGUAUGCGGGUUCGAUCCCUGUUCGGGGAGCUAAGAUCUCACGUGCUGCGGGGCAACUAAGCCCAUGCACCACAACUACUGAGCUCACGUGCCUCAACUAGAGAG